UACGGAGGGUGCGAGCGUUGUCCGGAAUCACUGGGCGUAAAGGGCGCGCAGGCGGCCCUUGAAGUCAGGCGUGAAAGCCCCGGGCUCAACCUGGGAGGUGCGCUUGAUACUCGAGGGCUUGAGUGCGGGAGAGGAGAGUGGAAUUCCCAGUGUAGAGGUGAAAUUCGUAGAUAUUGGGAAGAACACCGGUGGCGAAGGCGGCUCUCUGGACCGUAACUGACGCUGAGGCGCGAAAGCGUGGGGAGCAAACAGG
This 253-nucleotide ribosomal RNA is filed under the name uncultured bacterium. RNAcentral describes it as "partial 16S ribosomal RNA". It matches the Rfam family "Bacterial small subunit ribosomal RNA", at positions 524 to 776 of the family's 1533-position model. The record is from RNAcentral.